Nicotiana tabacum (common tobacco) is the source of this 5624-nucleotide long non-coding RNA. RefSeq lists it as uncharacterized. The record is from RefSeq and is a predicted model, not a curated record. NCBI's taxonomy places the organism in Eukaryota, Viridiplantae, Streptophyta, Magnoliopsida, Solanales, Solanaceae.
UAGUUUAGGUACUCACAAUUGUUGGAUGAUUCUGAAACCUAAGCCCCAAAUUGAAAAAAUAAGAUCUACAUUCAGAGAGCGUUUUCCGGUUAAAUGCAGAGCCAAAAUUGGAGUAUCUGACAACUAUAACGUCUUCCUGGACUUCACAAAUGAAGAUGACUUUAACUUAGUGUGGUAUAAAAGAAUGGUAGAAAUCGAUGGUCUUCAGAUGUGGCUGCAAAAGUUGACGCCGAAUUUCAGACCGGACGAGGAUAUUCCAAGAGUGUUGGUAUGGGUAUUACUUCCUACUUUACCUUUUAAUAUGCACACAUGGCACUAUGCUAAAUAAAUUUGCAGCGAGAUUGGAACCCCCUAGCUCUAGAUGUUGCGACAGUUGGUAAAACCAGACCGAGUAUAGCUAAAAUACGGUAGAAAUUAAUCUUUUUAAACCUCUAGUAGACAUUGUAUUUGUGGGAUCGGAGGAUAAAAAUGCACCUUUGAAAGGAUUUACCCAAAAAAUUGAGUAUGAAAAUAUUCCUAAAUACUGUAGACAAUGAAAAAAACUUGGGCAUAACUUAAUAAAUUAUAGAGUUCUGAAAAAAAAAGGGCAGCGAAAGCGGAGAAAAAUAAUAAAGAAGAAAGCUUGAAACAUCUUGAAGAGGGAACUAGUGGAACACAAAAGGAUAAGAAGGGGGAGGAAGAAGAGAAAAAGAAAAGAAAAAUAGAGUUACCAGCAAAUGAAAGCAGUAAUGAGAAUGAUGGACGACAACAAAACGGUUACAAGAACAAGAGUUUGAAUUGCGAGGAGAUUAAAGAAGGAACAUACCAAAAUACUCCAAACAAGAAUCAACAUAGAUUGGAGAUUGAACAAGACAACAAGACUCCCUUGGCUAUAAAGAAUAAUCAAGCUACUAUAGCAUGGAGAACUAGAAAGAAGAGGAAGAAAAACCAUCAGCAAAAAAUGAAUGCCAAAAAAGAAGAGUAAGGUGAUAUUCAAACCCGUUCUAAUACAAGGGAGUAGUAGGCAGAAUACUACAACCAGAACUUCCACCUCCUAGAACCAUGCUGACAUAUCAGAAGGCAUGAGCAUGAAUUACAAUAGUAAGAAGGUGAAGCAUAACAGUGAUGAGGAGAAGUAGGACACAAACAACAACAAGAUGAAAAAGAAACAGGAUCCUAACAACCAAUUUGAUUCAAUGGUUAAAGAGAGUUCAUUAAAUGAACUUAUACAGGAAAAACAAAUACAAAAAGCUAACUCUGAAAGAGGGGAUGCUACUAUCAAUAAAGACCCUUCCGCUAAGAGUACAAAGAAGCAGGGGAUAGUCACAAUACAUAACUUGGAGGAAAUCAGAGAUAAAAACCUUGAGUUGGAGAAGGAACACAUAGGGAAUGAAAGGACUAUGGACUCUAGUUCAUGUUUAACAUGUCUGCCAACAAACAUAAUUGAGCACCCAGGUAUUGAGUUAAUAGUAGAAUUAUAUGUAAAUCAGGAUCAACCACUCAAAAGCAACACAUUCAAGACAGUUGAUCACCCUAUGCAAGACCCUUCACUACAUCAAAGUAUACAAAGACUUGAUCAAAGUGAAGAGAGAAACCAAGACAAAGGCAAUUAUUAAGAAGAAGAAUAUCUACUAGCAGGAAGGGGAAAAAGUAUAGCAAGAAACUCAAGCAAGGCUAACAAAAAUAGAUAUGCAACCUUUGUGAACAGGAAACAAAAGAAAGAUACUCCCUCCCCAAGUAUUUCAUGAUCAAUAUAAUUUUUUGGAAUAUUAGGGAGGUGAGGUCAAAAAAGGCCAUUCAUAGGCUAAAAUAACUAAUACAUUAACAACAUUCUUUAUACUUCAAUCAUGGAACCCAUGAUUAGCAAAGAAAAAAUAGAAGGGUACAGAAAAUUCUUGGGUUAUCAAGAAUGCAUUUCCAAUGAUAAAGGGAAGAUCUGGUACUUCUAAAAAAAUAUCAGUAAUACCUCUAUUAUUGCAAAUGAUGAGCAACAAAUUUCUAUUAAAGUUGAAGAAGGUUCAGACAACCACCCCAUCAUUAUCACUGCUAUCUCUUCUAAAUGUACUGCGAUGGAAAGAAGAGAUUUGUGAUGCAGCCUGGAGAAAAUCAACCUAACUAUUAAUGAUCCUUGGUGCAUUGGAGGUGACUUCAAUAUUAUUCUUGACCCCGAAGAGAAGUUACGUGGUAAACCUCAUAGGAUGCAUAUGAGCUUGGAAUUUCAAAAUUGUAUGGAUAAUUAUGAUACUACAUAUAUUGGCUAUAUAGGUCCCAAAUUUAUCUAGUGUAAUAACAGAGGCCCAAGUAAAAGAAUCUGGAAAAGGAUUGAUAGAGUCUUUAUUAAUGAUAAAUGGGCUCAAAAAUUCCAAAACACUAUUGUGAGACAUUUGGUUGGUUCUGAUCACAGGCCUUUACUCAUGAAAUCUUCAAAUUCUACUAACACUCACUUUAAGUACUUCAAAUUCCUUAACUUCUGGACUUCACAUGAGGGUUUUCACAAUCUAGUUAAGGAAGUUUGGAGUACUAAGAUCAAUGGUAAUAGCAUGUAGCGACUUCAGUCCAAAUUAAAGCUUCUUAGUAAAAGGCCUAGUAAAUGGUCUAGAAAAGAAAUUGGAGACAUUCACGAGCAGGUUGCUAAGUGGGAAGAAAAGAUCCAGGACUUAGAGGAAAUUAAGAUCUAUUACAAUACUGACAUCGACAGGGAAGAAACCAACAAGGCACAUGCUGAAUACAUCAGAUGGAUGGAUAUGCAAGACUCUCUACUUACCCAAAAAGCUAAUGCCUAAUGAUUUGAGAAGGGCGGCAGAAACACUAAUUAUUUUCACAGUAUGCUCAUAGAAAAAAGAAGAAAACUUUCAUUGAAUAGGAUAAAAAACCAUAAAGGCAAAUGGAUACAAGAAGAGGAGAAAAUUGCAAAGGUAGCUAUUCGGCACUUCAACUCCAUGUUCAACCUUCUUUCACCUCACUUGGAUUCUACACUUAUGAAUUGUAUUACUAAAAAGAUCACUGAAGAAGAAAGAGACAAGAUAGAUGAAGAACCCAGUGAGGAAGAAAUCCGACAGACAGUAUUCUGUCUGUCUGCCUCUAGUGCAGCUGGUCCAGAUUGUUACAGUGGCACCUUUUUCCACAACUGUUGGGAUAUCAUUAAAGAGGACAUUAAUUCUUUCGUUUGGGAAUUCUUCAAAGGUACUCCUCUGACCAAAUUCUAUACACAUACUUGUUUAGUUUUAAUUCCUAAGUUGUUUGCCUAUUAGUUUAUCUACUUUCACUAACAAAAUUAUUUUUAAGAUCCUAUCCAUUAGACUUAUUCUUUCUUGACUAGUUUUAUCUCUCCUAAUCAGAGUGGCUUUAUUAAAGAUAGACUCAUCUCUAAAAAUAUUAUACUAGCACAUGAAAUAGUUCAAUCCAUUGAUCAUGUUAAUCAGGGUGGUAAUAUAGUCCUUAAAUUGGAUAUGGUUAAAGCCUAUGAUAGAAUAUCUUGGAGCUUUAUAGCCUCCGUCCUUAGGAAAUUUGGUUUCUCAGAGUUAUGGAUUUAUAAGAUUAUGAAUAUUUUAUCUGAAAUUUGGUAUUCUAUCAUAGUCAAUGGAAAUAGAAAAGGCUUCCUCUCAUCCUGUCAAGGUCUAAAACAAGGGGACCCCUUAUCCCCUUCCCUCUUCAUCUUGGCAGCUGAGGUUAUUACUUGCUCUUUCAACUUAUACUCUAAUGAUAAUUUCAUUCUUUUCUCUAUGCCACAAAGAGCUCCUCAGAUCAAUCAUCUUGCGUUUGUAGAUGAUAUUGUUAUCUUCACUAGUGGUAGCAUUGCUUCAAUUAAUCUUAUUAUGGAUAUCAUUAGAAGAUAUGAGAGCAUCUCAGGCCAAAAGGUUAAUAAUGAUAAGAUUUUCUUUUUAGCUGCUCCUAAUACUUGUGUUACUAGAAUCAAUCGAAUCAGGAAUGCAACAGGUUACAUGGACAAGAACUUCCCUUUUACUUAUCUAGGUUGUUCUAUUUAUAUAGAAAGGAAGAUGUUAGUUUAUUUUGACUGUCUUGUUAAUAAAAUUGUUAAGAAGCUCAAUGGGUGGAAUAGUAAAAUAUUGGCUCAUGAAGGGAGAAUUAUUUUGAUCAAACAUGUUUUUCAAUCUCUCCAUAUAUAUACUUUAUCUGCUAUGUCCCCCCUCCCCCCCAAGGCAUUUUUAAAUUGAUUGAGAAGCAUUUUGCUAAUUUUUUUGGGGCUACUCUGACAACCAAAAGAAAUAUCAUUGGAGAUCUUGGAAAAAAUUAUGCUUCCCCAUAGAGAAAGGAAGCAUUGGACUGAAAAGAAUGGAGGUCUUUGAUAAUAUCCUUGCCUCGAAAAGGUGGUGGAGAUUUAGAACCAUCCCCUCUUUGUGGGCUACCUUCAUGAAACAUAAAUAUUAUCCCAAAUCCCAUUCAAUGAGUAAGAAAAAGACCUCUGGUAAUUCCCAUGCCUGGCAAAAAAUGAGAAAAGUCAGAGACAAGGCAGAACCUCACAUUUUAUGGCUUAUAAACUCUGGAAAUUCAAGUAUAUGGUGGGACAACUGGACUGGAAAGGGUCCUUUGGUAGCACUUCUACCAGACAUCAACAACAAUCCAAAAAUUCUAGUCAAAGAGUUUAUACACAAUGAAAGAUGGAACAUUCAAAACUUGGAGAUGCCUUCCCAGAGUAAAUUGUUCAAUAUAUUGUGAAUAUCAACAUUGGCAAUCAAGACAUUCCAGACCAAGCUAUAUGGGGCCUCACAGAAAAUGAGUGAUGCAGCUAGGUACAUUUGGAAGACCAUAGGUGCCCCUAUGAGAAUAGUAUAUAAGAAAAUUCCCAUUAGAGGAUAGCUUAAUCACUGGUGGCAGCAAAAGAGCAAUAAUGUCAUACAUAAACAGAUCCUGCAAAUCACUCCUAUCAUCAUUUGCUGGGGAAUCUGGAAAAGUAGGUGCUCAUGUAAGUAUGGAGAUCAGAAAAGAUUCAACUUCUACAAGAUGAGGCAGCAGAUAAUCUGGAACAUUCAAGCUGCAGUAUCCUUCCCUGGAUCCAAACUGACAUUGCCUUGGGUCAAAUACUGUGAAGUCAUGAUGAGGCUACAACAUGUUCCUGAAGCCAUUAAUGUAGCUUGGAUUAAGCCUCCCCAAGGAUCCUUCAAAGCUUAACACUAAUGAAAAUUAUAUACAUGGAAAUGGUAAAGCAGGAUUGGAAGGAACUAUGAGCAAUGACCAGGGAGAAAUCAUUAUGGCCUUUUCUAUCUCUGCCAAAUGCACUAGCAACAAUGAUGCAGAAGCACAAGCAGCAUUAUUUGGAGUCAAAUGGUGCAUUCAAAAUGGUUACUCUUGCUACAUCAUUGAACUAGAUUAUCUUCUGGUGGUAAAUAUAUUGAAAGAGAGGCGUACAGAUAACUAUCAAAUAAAGAGAAUCAUUGAAGAGACAACACAGUUAAUGAACCCAGCCAAUGUUACUCCUAAUCACUGUUAUAGAGAGGCUAACUAAGUGGUGGCCACUUAGCUAACUGGGCUACAACCACUUAUGACAGUAACAUAUAUUAUUACUUUGGCCAAAUACAUAGACAACACCUUAAAGUUGUUAAGAUUUUUUACUUAGACACUUUAACCAAGUAUGCGACCUAUUAGACACCCAAACAACCAUGAAAGUGUUUCAAUUGAACAUAAAA